UACAUAGUCUACUGCGUUAUUCAUUAUAAACUUGAAUGUUGUUUUUAAAGAUAUGUUGGAUUAUUUGCAAUGCCAAAAAGAACAACAAAAAACGUUUACCUUUUAAACACGAUUUCUUCAAACAGAAUUGACUGAUCCACUAAAGUGAUAAUGACGCCAGUUAGGAAGAACACAGAUACUUUGUAUAUUCUGCUUGAAAGUUUGUUUCGAACACGUUACAUCACUAAUGUGGUCCUCAAAGAUUUAUGAGUUGUAUUUAUCUGUCAAUUUUGAGCCUCGAAGUUUACCAAAUGAGUCCACUCCAGCUUUAUACGAUGCCGUUGUCAUAGUGUGAUCAUUUGAAGAUUUUGAUAACCGUAGGAAGCUUCCGAAAAAGAACUUGGCCGUCAGUUAUACGAGAAGUUCGGAAAACAACAGCGUCUAUUUUAAGCUUAAUCCCUCUCCAAUUUGAUACCUAUGGAGCAACGAGAGAGCGCCUUUUUUUUGUCUCUUUUUCUUUGAAUGCAACUUGCUAUUUUAAGUGUGAGUGAUUAUAGUAGUAUGUUUUUUUUAUUCUGAAUGU
Molecule: long non-coding RNA, 562 nt
Organism: Limulus polyphemus (Atlantic horseshoe crab)
Lineage: Eukaryota; Metazoa; Arthropoda; Merostomata; Xiphosura; Limulidae
Exons: 3
Source: RefSeq, a predicted model, not a curated record